Hordeum vulgare subsp. vulgare (domesticated barley) is the source of this 135-nucleotide non-coding RNA. NCBI's taxonomy places the organism in Eukaryota, Viridiplantae, Streptophyta, Magnoliopsida, Poales, Poaceae. The record is from Rfam.
UACGUACUCCCUCCAUCUCAAAAUUCUUGUCUUAGAUUUGUCUAGAAAUGGAUGUAUCUAAAUACAAAAACGUGUCUAGGUACAUUCAUAUCUAGACAAAUAUAUGACAAGAAUUUUGGACGGAGGGAGUAACAU